AAUGAACGCUGGCGGCAUGCCUUACACAUGCAAGUCGAACGGCAGCAUGACCUAGCUUGCUAGGUUGAUGGCGAGUGGCGAACGGGUGAGUAAUGCAUCGGAACGUGCCUUUUAGUGGGGGAUAACGUAGCGAAAGUUACGCUAAUAACGCAUAUUCUCUGAGGAGGAAAGCAGGGGACCUUCGGGCCUUGCGCUAGAAGAGCGGCCGAUGUCGGAUUAGCUAGUUGGUGAGGUAAAGGCUCACCAAGGCAACGAUCCGUAGCGGGUCUGAGAGGAUGAUCCGCCACACUGGGACUGAGACACGGCCCAGACUCCUACGGGAGGCAGCAGUGGGGAAUUUUGGACAAUGGGCGCAAGCCUGAUCCAGCCAUGCCGCGUGAGUGAAGAAGGCCUUCGGGUUGUAAAGCUCUUUCGGCUGGGAAGAAAUCGCACCCUCUAAUACAGGGUGUGGAUGACGGUACCAGCAUAAGAAGCACCGGCUAACUACGUG
Molecule: ribosomal RNA, 490 nt
Filed under: uncultured bacterium
Lineage: Bacteria
Description: partial 16S ribosomal RNA
Rfam family: Bacterial small subunit ribosomal RNA
Source: RNAcentral